RNAcentral lists this ribosomal RNA (601 nucleotides) under Phytopythium vexans. RNAcentral describes it as "partial 28S ribosomal RNA". It matches the Rfam family "Eukaryotic large subunit ribosomal RNA", at positions 93 to 607 of the family's 3401-position model. Lineage: Eukaryota; Oomycota; Peronosporomycetes; Pythiales; Pythiaceae. The record is from RNAcentral.
GUGAAGCGGGAAGAGCUCAAGCUUANNAUCUCUGUGCAAGUUUUGCAUGGCGAAUUGUAGUCUAUGGAUGCGCUAUCAGUACAGCCGCGCGGGCCAAGUUCCUUGGAAGAGGACAGCAUGGAGGGUGAUACUCCCGUUCCUGCCUGUGCGUGUUGUGCGUACGAUGCGUUUUCUUUGAGUCGCGUUGUUUGGGAAUGCAGCGCAAAGUAGGUGGUAAAUUCCAUCUAAAGCUAAAUAUUGGUGCGAGACCGAUAGCGAACAAGUACCGUGAGGGAAAGAUGAAAAGAACUUUGAAAAGAGAGUUAAAGAGUACCUGAAACUGCUGAAAGGGAACCGGGUCGUUGCCAGUGUCUAUAAUCUGCGGCAUAUUUCAUUGUCGGAUGCGGCCGUGCGGCGCGUUUGGUAGUGGGUUCGUCCUGCACCGNNUGUUGCUGUGGUUGUGUUUGGUGGUGCCCUGUGCUGUGGUGGGACGUCAGAGUCAGUUCGUAUGCUGCGGGAAAUGGUUGCUGGGGAGGUAGGUCGGGGGUUCGCCCUCGGCUGUUAUAUCCUGGUGGACUANUCNUCGUGGUUGGGACUGANGUGCCUACNNNNUGCUUUUUUA